Molecule: unclassified non-coding RNA, 342 nt
Filed under: soil metagenome
Description: partial contains 5.8S ribosomal RNA, internal transcribed spacer 2, and large subunit ribosomal RNA
Rfam family: 5.8S ribosomal RNA (bases 1-120)
Source: RNAcentral
GAUGAAGAACGCAGCGAAAUGCGAUAAGUAAUGAGAAUUGCAGAAUUCAGUGAAUCAUCGAAUCUUUGAACGCACAUUGCGCCCGCCAGCACUCUGGCGGGCAUGCCUGUUCGAGCGUCAUUCCAACCAUCAAGCCCCCAGGGGCUUGUGCUGGGGCCCUGCGGCUGCCCGCAGGCCCUGAAAACCAGUGGCGGGCUCGCUAGUCACACCGAGCGCAGUAGCACAUCUCGCUCAGGGCGUGCGGCGGGCUCCUGCCGUGAAACCCCCCACUGUAACCCCAAAGGUUGACCUCGGAUCAGGUAGGAAUACCCGCUGAACUUAAGCAUAUCAAUAAGCGGAGGA